This is a long non-coding RNA of Lolium rigidum, 2328 nucleotides long. RefSeq lists it as uncharacterized. The record is from RefSeq and is a predicted model, not a curated record. The transcript is spliced from 4 exons. Lineage: Eukaryota; Viridiplantae; Streptophyta; Magnoliopsida; Poales; Poaceae.
GGCGCGGCGUUCUCCCAGGGCGGUGGCAGCUUGUCGCUCUUGCAUUCGCAGUCGCAGAUCUCCCAGGCCUCCCUCGACGAGAAUCUCCUAAGCCCUCGUCAUCCCUCCCCCGCGCGCGAUCAGUGAACUCGCUUGUGCUUGGUUGAUGCGUGGAAGAAAUAGUUCAAAUCUCUGCAGUCGACAUUUCAUUGGGCAAAUUUGUGCGGUCAGGGGGUUGGCCAGAUAUGGGAAGUUCGUCAGUCCAUGGAAGAUACACACAUACACAUGUGUGUGUUGCUGGUCUAGCUAAAAGCAUCGGCUAUCCAACCGAGGAUAAGGAGGCUGCUUCCUUUCAAGGGGUAGAUAGUCAGUUUGCUGAUAAAUGCUCUCACCACAGAGCUCUGUCAUCUGGCACAGCGGCGCUUACAGAAAUGAUUUUUGGAAGGUGUUUCUCUGGCACAUAUAAUUUUGGUUCACCCUUCUAAGUAACAUCUUUGACUGACCUGGUAAUUAAUAACAUAAGCUAUGCCUGUAAUACACUUUGUUUUCAUAGAGAGUUCAUUUGUUCACCAUCUAUUGAAUGGAUUGGAACACAAGACAUUAUCUGUGGACAUACAAUGGAAAUCCAUGGUAAACUGGCACCAUGAUAUUUAUAUUGUUUCUGUGUUGCAUAGAUCAGCUUACUUGGCUGACUCAAAUGACAAGUAAUGACAAGUGUUCCAUUCACUUCAUAUAGUGUUUACUUGGCUAAAACAUGCUUUUUUUUUGUAGUAAAAUUUCCAUCUCCGUUUUGCUGACUCAAAUUACUACUUCUUUCAAUGUACCAUGCUGAAUACUGAAGGCGAUGUUGAUCAUUGAUGCUGUACAGGAGCAUAUUCUUCUAGCUAGACAGGUUUGAAAUUCUGAGAGCUUUCCCUGCAAUGUCUUUUUAGCUGCUGUUUUUGCGCUUCUGAGAAGACGGAUAUUUCAUUCAUGUUUUUUAGGUUGGUGUGCCAUCACUUGUUUGCUUCCUUAAAUUCCUGUGGUUUGCAGCUUUUUUACACUCACUGAACUGUAUGGUAAUUUAGGACAACCAUCUACCAAUGCAGAGUGAAUAGCAAUCACCAGCUGAACGUGCAUUUGAUAUCUUUUACUUCGGUUUCAUAUGACAGAAUAUUGUAGAAUCACAAUUAGCUUAUCCUGUUUUAGGUCUGCUGGUUUAACCAUCAUUUUAUUAUAGAUCUGUAGACUAUAGACUGAAACCUGGUUAGCUUACUCUGUUGCUUUGAGCGUAAUGUGUGGGCGAUGCAUGGACCAUGGUGCACCUCUUCUCAAUUGUUCGUUAGACCCAGUGGCAGAGCUACAAACAAAUACCUGGGCGGGCCUAAUUAAAGAAGAGAAAAGAAAUCACGCUCUAGCUUAUAAUUUGGGAAAGAAAAAGUAUAAACAUGCUAGUGUGUUGUCUUUUCUGCAAUCGAAGGGAACUGCUCCAUUAAUGUUGUGCUCUCUAGCUGGUACUUGCAUCAUGAUCAUUCAGAGAUCUUACCAGCUUACGUUAAAUCCAUCCUUACCAGCUUACGUUAAAUCCAUCCUUGCAUCAUGCAUGCGGACAGUUGUAGUACCAGUUAGUAGUUUUUUACUUCCACUAAAUAUUCCUGAGCCUAUAGAGGACGUGCAGUGAAGUUGCUCCAAGCUAGCAUGGUGGUGACGUUAAGAGCUAAUUUUACCGGGUGUUGAAGUCUUAGUCCAAUGCAGCCAAAAAAGUCAAACCUCCUCUGGUUUGAUGGGAUUUACUUAUGACGGAAACCAUAGCUGGUGAGGGCCGCCAGCUGUUGCCUUCUUGAGGCUAGCAAGACUGCCCCUGAGAGGAGACAGCCGGUACCGCAAAUAGCACCUGGAUGCAGCUUGCUUGGAUCUGGAGUUGCCUUGGGUCUCAGUGUUGCCAUUGCCAUGGCCCUCGGUUUCUGAUUUCAGUACCUGCGCUAUUCCCGCCUGACGACUUUGAUGGUUUCUUGAGAUUGUUCUUAUUAUUUCAGGCGCAAUAAGCCAGAAGGGAUGUGUUGUGAACUCGUGAUAAGGCUUGUGCUGCUACUCCGUUUUUCUGGUACACUGCUGAAGACUGGGAUCAACUGAAGGUGAUGAUGUCACAUUGUGAUGGUGUUCGAAUUGGAAACAUGGUGAUGAUGUUCACAGAGUACAUAUUGAGAUACUGUGCUGAACAUCCACUACAUACUAUGUUGACACUGUGUUUACAUUGUGUAACUGAUAUUGGGUGAUAAUUACGGAAUAAAGUGCACUGGAUUAAUGUGUUGGCACUGUGUGCUUAUUCUUGUAUGACAGUACAUAUGUUCAUAUUGUGUGCUUCUUGUA